AAUAGAUACCCAGGUAGUCCACGCCGUAAACGAUGAGUGCUAAGUGUUGGGGGGUUUCCGCCCCUCAGUGCUGCAGCUAACGCAUUAAGCACUCCGCCUGGGGAGUACGGUCGCAAGACUGAAACUCAAAGGAAUUGACGGGGGCCCGCACAAGCGGUGGAGCAUGUGGUUUAAUUCGAAGCAACGCGAAGAACCUUACCAGGUCUUGACAUCCCGGUGACCACUAUGGAGACAUAGUUUCCCCUUCGGGGGCAACGGUGACAGGUGGUGCAUGGUUGUCGUCAGCUCGUGUCGUGAGAUGUUGGGUUAAGUCCCGCAACGAGCGCAACCCUUAUUCUUAGUUGCCAUCAUUCAGUUGGGCACUCUAAGGAGACUGCCGGUGAUAAACCGGAGGAAGGUGGGGAUGACGUCAAAUCAUCAUGCCCCUUAUGACCUGGGCUACACACGUGCUACAAUGGACGGUACAAACGGUUGCCAACCCGCGAGGGGGAGCUAAUCCGGAUAAAACCGUUCUCAGUUCGGAUUGUAGGCUGCAACUCGCCUAC
Molecule: ribosomal RNA, 545 nt
Filed under: uncultured bacterium
Lineage: Bacteria
Description: bacterial SSU rRNA
Rfam family: Bacterial small subunit ribosomal RNA
Source: RNAcentral